CUCGUAGGUGGUUGGUCACGUCUGCUGUGGAAACGCAACGCUUAACGUUGCGCGUGCAGUGGGUACGGGCUGACUAGAGUGCAGUAGGGGAGUCUGGAAUUCCUGGUGUAGCGGUGAAAUGCGUAGAUAUUAGGAGGAACACCAGUGGCGAAGGCGACUUUCUGGACUGUAACUGACGCUGAGGCUCGAAAGCGUGGGGAGCGAACAGGAUUAGAUACCCCCGUA
RNAcentral lists this ribosomal RNA (225 nucleotides) under uncultured Brevibacterium sp. Its description in RNAcentral is "partial 16S ribosomal RNA". It matches the Rfam family "Bacterial small subunit ribosomal RNA", at positions 568 to 792 of the family's 1533-position model. Lineage: Bacteria; Bacillati; Actinomycetota; Actinomycetes; Micrococcales; Brevibacteriaceae. The record is from RNAcentral.